Coturnix japonica (Japanese quail) is the source of this 2336-nucleotide long non-coding RNA. Ensembl annotates it as FMR1 neighbor. Lineage: Eukaryota; Metazoa; Chordata; Aves; Galliformes; Phasianidae. The record is from Ensembl.
ACUGGUUGCUACUGUGGUGGUGUUGUUUGAAACCUAUUUUAAAGAAAUCCUUAAAGUAAUUUCUGAGUGUGCUAUAAAACUGGAUCAUUAAAAAAAGAGCAACAAUUAUAGGUGAAUGCUUUAAGUUUCUACUGAGGAUUCAAUAAGACAAAGAUUCUUUCUCGCAUUUUUGCUCUGAAUUCCAAUAUUUUUUUCCAAUAAAAAUUUCCAGUUUCCAAUAAAAGCAGGUAAUUUAAACCAAAUGAGCAUCCUGUAGAUGUUAUCUUUAAAUGAUGAGGAACUCAACUAUUUUAGAAAUGGUAUAAUGAAGAUUUGUUUAAGGUCAAAUGGGGGUAUUAAAUGCCUUUUUUUUUUUUUUUUUUGGCUGAUGGAUUUAGUCUAUACUUGAGGCUCGUGUUAAAUUUAAUAAAAUCAAUUGUCUGUUAUGAGGAGUGUAUUUUCAUAGCCUGAGGUAUCCAUUACCUGAUCUGCAUAUGUGCCUAUUAGGUGGUGUUCCUGUAUAUUGUAUGUUAGUAAUGGCACAAACUUAACUUACUGAGUUAAAAGACUGUGUCUUCUAGCCGUCUGCUCCUUGGGAAGCUGACUUUUUCAUGCCACAUGCAGCUGCUUUUUCUGGUCUAUCGAACGUUAGCUUCAGUUCCACAUCUGUACUGUUUGUUCUGAGCUACGUCAUAGGUAACAAGUAGCCCAUUGUGACAAGGAGGUUUGACUCUGCCUGGAGUUGCACAGGGUAGCAGUGAUCUUACUGAUCCAAUUGCAGAAGAAAAUACAAGUAAUGCUACAAGAAGGAAUUGGCUUUCAUCUAUUGUGGAGCUAUGUCAUAUUGAUACUGCUUCAUAGCGUCAAUUCAAGUUUUACAUCACCAACUCCUGCUUCAGAAAAAAAUGAAGUGGCAGGCAGCAACUUUGUCACGAAAGUGAAAGGUGCAUCUAACGCGUUUUUAAACCUCUUCAGGCCAGUGACUUGCCGAUACAAAGAAAGGCACACCUUAGUCCCUUGUCGUGCAGGAGGGAACAUUAAUGCAACAAAGUGCUUGGAAAAUAGAUGUUGUCCUUCCAAAGGCAGGCAUCAACUGGAAUGUUAUGUCCCAUUUAAAGACAAUCUGCAGCUGGCACUUCGACUGUUUCUGGUUGGGGCACUUGGAUGUAUAAUUUUGGGUUGUGUACCAUUAUUUUGCUGUGCCUGGCUUCAGAAGAGUCCAUGUAUCAAUCCUUUACGAAGUGCAAACAUAACAAUAGAACAAAUUGUGAAGAACAAGAGAGCAAAUAGUGAAGAAAUGCGUAGCUUGUUAUCAAAUUGACCUAAAGGCUUUGAGGAGCAUAAACACAAAAGAAAGAGGACCAUCCAUGUCAUAUUAAUGAGGAUGGAGGAGAAAGACACCAGGAUUAUGCACUAACUAUGAGUAUGCUCUAGGAAAUGAUUUCUUUUAGCAUCACAGUAAUAUAGUGUUGCCAACCCUUGAUGAUGCUAUUGAUUUUUGCAUUAGAAGUUGUUCAUUUCUGUUUCUUUGUACUCACUCCAUAUCUCCUUUAUGAAAAAAAAGAUGGUAAUGCUGAAAGGGAAAAACUGGUCAUUCUGUCUCCUGGAUGCUAAAGCCACCUGAUGUGCUAGUAAAGCACCUUCACAAUUCGGAGGUCAGCCUUAGAGUGACAUUCUCAAAGACAUACUUAGGCAAAGAACUUCAGGAAACUGGUAGCAUUUCCUCUGCCGUUGUUUCUGUUCAUGGUAUAUCACUGCACCACAGAACUUCCUUAGAUCUUUAGGAUACGUCUCUCAAGGCAAGUGAUGCCAAAAUGCAAUUUCUUUCAGUCUCCCUGAAGUGUAACACAAAACAAGAAAUGAAUGUGUAAUCGUUUUGAAUAGCAAAGUAAUGAUACUUUGAAACUGUACUCACAAUGUUCAUACAUUUUUCUUAGUUUUGCUAGUUCUAAAAGAGACAUCAGUUAAAGCCCAAGUGUAAUAGAGUUGAAGUACGCAUAUGGGCAGUCUCAUGAAACUGACAGAGCAUGCAGUUAUAAUACAGCAUUAGCAUAUGCAGAAGUUUUACAGCUUGAUAUGGCAACCCUUGUCAGGAACACUGUAUUAGAGAUGGUUGGGAUACAAUUUUCUAAGGACAAGAAUUACAAUGUUUUUGAUGUUGAGCAGCAGAAUGAUGGAGAUUGAAUCGUGUUCAGUUUGCCUUCCAAAUCUGAUCUGUUUGCUGCUUCUUGAUGUUACUUUUAUGAAUCCUGAGAUAUGUCUGCAAAUAUUUUGACAAAGAUAGAAAUAAUUUCCUGCUUCUUGAAUUUAGGGGCACUCUUACAACUGAAAUGUGCGUGCAACAAACACAUACAUCU